RNAcentral lists this unclassified non-coding RNA (290 nucleotides) under Hevea brasiliensis (rubber tree). The record is from RNAcentral. Lineage: Eukaryota; Viridiplantae; Streptophyta; Magnoliopsida; Malpighiales; Euphorbiaceae.
UUGUCAAAGUCCACAGGCCCAACCAUCUCAGCCACUCCACAAAACUGGGCACUAGCAUUCACCGAAAACAACAGAAAAACUGGAAUUGUCCCGUGUUUCUCCUUUGCCUCAUGAUAAGCAGUAUCUAAUUUCUUGUUGCCAUUCAGGGUACUUGCCCAAACACCAUAUUUUAUGCUCUUAUGAACAUUAUCUUCACUGUAAGAUUUGAUAACAAAGAACUUUGCAUCCUUGUAGUCAGUGACAAAAUCCAGGCAGUUAUAUGACUCAUUAUAAACAUCAGAAACUGCAUU